This 68-nucleotide transfer RNA is filed under the name Nototeredo knoxi. Its description in RNAcentral is "tRNA-Ile". It matches the Rfam family "tRNA". From Rfam's summary of the family: Transfer RNA (tRNA) molecules are approximately 80 nucleotides in length. Their secondary structure includes four short double-helical elements and three loops (D, anti-codon, and T loops). Further hydrogen bonds mediate the characteristic L-shaped molecular structure. tRNAs have two regions of fundamental functional importance: the anti-codon, which is responsible for specific mRNA codon recognition, and the 3' end, to which the tRNAs corresponding amino acid is attached (by aminoacyl-tRNA synthetases). tRNAs cope with the degeneracy of the genetic code in two manners: having more than one tRNA (with a specific anti-codon) for a particular amino acid; and 'wobble' base-pairing, i.e. permitting non-standard base-pairing at the 3rd anti-codon position. Lineage: Eukaryota; Metazoa; Mollusca; Bivalvia; Myida; Teredinidae. The record is from RNAcentral.
AGUGCUGUGCCAGAAAAUUGGGCUUCCUUGAUGUGGAAGAAAAUGUAGGUUCAACCCUUCCGGUGCUA